GCCCUACGGGAGGCUGCAGUGGGGAAUAUUGGACAAUGGGCGAAAGCCUGAUCCAGCCAUGCCGCGUGUGUGAAGAAGGUCUUCGGAUUGUAAAGCACUUUAAGUUGGGAGGAAGGGCAGUAAGUUAAUACCUUGCUGUUUUGACGUUACCGACAGAAUAAGCACCGGCUAACUCUGUGCCAGCAGCCGCGGUAAUACAGAGGGUGCAAGCGUUAAUCGGAAUUACUGGGCGUAAAGCGCGCGUAGGUGGUUUGUUAAUUUGGAUGGGAAAGCCCCGGGCUCAACCUGUGAACUGCAUCCAAAACUGGCAAGCUAGAGUACGGUAGAGGGUGGUGGAAUUUCCUGUGUAGCGGUGAAAUGCGUAGAUAUAGGAAGGAACACCAGUGGCGAAGGCGACCACCUGGACUGAUACUGACACUGAGGUGCGAAAGCGUGGGGAGCAAACAGGAUUAGAUACCCCAGUAGUC
This 467-nucleotide ribosomal RNA is filed under the name uncultured Pseudomonas sp. RNAcentral describes it as "bacterial SSU rRNA". It matches the Rfam family "Bacterial small subunit ribosomal RNA", at positions 335 to 795 of the family's 1533-position model. Lineage: Bacteria; Pseudomonadati; Pseudomonadota; Gammaproteobacteria; Pseudomonadales; Pseudomonadaceae. The record is from RNAcentral.